This 468-nucleotide ribosomal RNA is filed under the name uncultured bacterium. Its description in RNAcentral is "partial 16S ribosomal RNA". It matches the Rfam family "Bacterial small subunit ribosomal RNA", at positions 28 to 523 of the family's 1533-position model. The record is from RNAcentral.
GAUGAACGCUGGCGGCGUGCCUAACACAUGCAAGUCGAGCGAUUUACUUCGGUAAAGAGCGGCGGACGGGUGAGUAACGCGUGGGUAACCUGCCCUGUACACACGGAUAACAUACCGAAAGGUAUGCUAAUACGGGAUAAUAUGCUUUAGUCGCAUGGCUGAAGUAUCAAAGCUCCGGCGGUACAGGAUGGACCCGCGUCUGAUUAGCUAGUUGGUAAGGUAACGGCUUACCAAGGCGACGAUCAGUAGCCGACCUGAGAGGGUGAUCGGCCACAUUGGAACUGAGACACGGUCCAAACUCCUACGGGAGGCAGCAGUGGGGAAUAUUGCACAAUGGGCGAAAGCCUGAUGCAGCAACGCCGCGUGAGCGAUGAAGGCCUUCGGGUCGUAAAGCUCUGUCCUCAAGGAAGAUAAUGACGGUACUUGAGGAGGAAGCCCCGGCUAACUACGUGCCAGCCGCCGCCGUAA